UGCAGCAAAAUGAAAUACUUAUGAUUCCUUAACAUGCUCAAAGAAAAUAUGAAAGUUCUUCUAUUUUGUUUACAAAAUUGAGAUAGUUGGAUGAACGUGCACAAAAAAGAAUGGGCUGCAUGCUGCUUCAAAAUCCUCUUAUGAAACAAAGAUUUCGCCGCAUGAUCCAGAGAAUGCAGGCAUGUUUAAUCUACAUAUUGUGUUUUACUAUCUGAUCCAAUAGACAAGGGAACAUAAUUGCUUGAUUAUUGAAAGAAUAGUCAUCUCUCUGAUUGGCACGAAGAAAGCUAAGCAAUAUCGUGAGAUGGUAAGUCGCUAAGAGAAUCUGCUCAAGAUGGUCAUGAGUUCACUUCAGAAAAUCAGGGAAUGUCAGCAGAUGUUAUCCUAAAGCAUUUUUGGCAACAGAAGAAGAACUUCUUGCUCUGUAUGUGUAGUGAAGGGAAAUUAGUGGAUGGUGCAGCAAGGGGCUGAUGGUUAGGAAUGAGGUGGAAACAAAAUUAUUCAAGAACACAGGGGAAUAGAGUUACAAGUUGAGGCAUUAUGUUUGAGGAUACUUUUAUAAGACAAUUAAGGGAAGACCAUUUGAGGAUUAUGUUUUUUUUUUUUACGGGAAAUGCUAUUUAGCCUUUCAUGCUCACAUCUCAAUUUAUCGUAAUUUGAUUUAAUUACUCAUAUUGAUUAAGCUAAACUUAUUUUGUUUAUUUGAUGUUGUCUUGAUGGUAUUGCAACUUGCUAUUUUGAUUAUGCAUAAUGCUGUCACACUCACUAUUUUGCCUCUUCAAAAGAAAUCCAAACUGCACUCCAUCCUAAAAAAUUGAUUAGGUAUGCACAUGGUGGCCGAAUUCAAUUAUUUUAGAGGAUCGUCUUUCACCUUCUCUACUAGAUAUGUAAAUCAUCGGGGUCCCAACUAUAAAUAUUCAGAACAUACUAACAUUGUUUGCUCUGAAUUUUAUAACUCACUCUCAAAAGGCUCCCGUACUCCCUUCCAAUAAUUUUCUGGAGGAUUUUGAUGAGGAUAACAACGGAGUCGUCUAUCCUAUCAAGAACCAGGUGAGUGGUGUGUUGGAGAAACCUUCCUCAAGCCAUCAAAAUCAGUGGUGUGUUGAAGAAACCUUCCUUAAGCCAUCAAAAUCAUUUUUGAGCUUUACUAUGCGGUUGAGUCUGAGAUUUACCAAUGACUAAGAAGUAGGAAAGCUUCACUUCAUCGGUUCUUGGAGAAAAGGAAGAAUAGACUCCAACAUUAUACAGGCUUCUCUGCUACCCUUUUGUUGUUUCUCUAUGAAGUGGAUCAAUUAGAUCAGAUGUGUGUUUCUCUAUUUUUGUAAGACUGAGUCCUAUGCUCAAAAAUAUCUAUACAUAUUUGUGAAUGUUGUGGUGCGUCCUUAUUAGUACCAUAUUUAAGAGUGUAUUUCUGAUUGACCCCAAAAACAAUGUACUUAUAGUUAUUUACACUCAUUAUAUGUGAGUGACUCUAUUUAGUAUUAUUGUUAUAGUAAAUGUCCUCAAUAUCAUUCUUCUGAUAUUAAUUGCUUCAUCAACAUGAGUUUUAUAUUUUCGC
This is a long non-coding RNA of Trifolium pratense (red clover), 1558 nucleotides long. RefSeq lists it as uncharacterized. The transcript has 10 exons. NCBI's taxonomy places the organism in Eukaryota, Viridiplantae, Streptophyta, Magnoliopsida, Fabales, Fabaceae. The record is from RefSeq and is a predicted model, not a curated record.